Rosa chinensis is the source of this 677-nucleotide long non-coding RNA. RefSeq lists it as uncharacterized. Lineage: Eukaryota; Viridiplantae; Streptophyta; Magnoliopsida; Rosales; Rosaceae. The transcript has 3 exons. The record is from RefSeq and is a predicted model, not a curated record.
CUAUUGAGAUAAUCUAGCCAGCAAGUGGCUCUAGUGUAUGCCAGACACAGUGGCUAUAGUUGCAGGGGAGAAAAGAAAAGCAUAAUUGAUCCAUACUACCAUCAGGGACUUCUAUUGCCCUCUGCACAUCAAGCUAAUUGAGUCGCAGUGGAGGAACGCAUAAUUAAUUCAAACAGCAGGACCAACAUUUCUUCUUGGAGAGAUUCAAGCUGCUACUGAGGAGGACCAUCUCUUGCCCAAAAAGGAAUGUCUUUCUGCAGAAGUUUCAUGGGCCAAAUUACGUGAAGCUGGAGAUGAGGAGGAGGAAAAUUAUGAUGAGGAAAGUUACCAGGAAGAGGAACAUGAGGUGGUUGAAAAUGAUGUUGAUGUUCAGUCUAUCUCUGUCUCUGGUGAUGAGGGUGUGCAUAUUGCAGUGGAUCAUAAAGGACAAACAUCUGAGGAGAAUGGUUGUGAAAUAGGCUCGUUAGAUUCUGAAAAUUUGGUUGAUCAUGCAGAAGAGCUUCAGGCUGAAAAAAGAGACCAUAGUUGCAGCGAGAAUGUAAAUGCUAUCGAGGACUGAGCUCGCGAACCAAAACUACCAUGGAAAGUUCUUGUGGCCGACAUACUUUUGGGGAUUACUUCAUUAGCUAAGCCAGCAUGUGGCUGUAUUUGAUAAUUAAUUAUUCUUACAUGGUCUC